Molecule: ribosomal RNA, 253 nt
Filed under: uncultured bacterium
Lineage: Bacteria
Description: partial 16S ribosomal RNA
Rfam family: Bacterial small subunit ribosomal RNA
Source: RNAcentral
UACGUAGGGGGCUAGCGUUGUCCGGAAUCAUUGGGCGUAAAGAGCGCGUAGGCGGCCCUGUAAGUCCGCUGUGAAAGUCAAGGGCUCAACCCUUGAAUGCCGGUGGAUACUGCAGGGCUAGAGUCCGGAAGAGGCGAGUGGAAUUCCUGGUGUAGCGGUGAAAUGCGUAGAUAUCCGGAGGAACACCGGUGGCGAAGGCGGCUUCCUGGACCGACACUGACGCUGAGGCGCGAAAGCUAGGGGAGCAAACGGG